RNAcentral lists this non-coding RNA (110 nucleotides) under Novibacillus thermophilus. RNAcentral describes it as "SAM-I sequence". It matches the Rfam family "SAM riboswitch aptamer (S box leader)". From Rfam's summary of the family: The SAM riboswitch is found upstream of a number of genes which code for proteins involved in methionine or cysteine biosynthesis in Gram-positive bacteria. The SAM riboswitch acts at the level of transcription termination control. Lineage: Bacteria; Bacillati; Bacillota; Bacilli; Caryophanales; Thermoactinomycetaceae. The record is from Rfam by way of RNAcentral.
GCCUUAUCAAGAGUGGUGGAGGGACUGGCCCAAUGAAACCCGGCAACCGGUCUUCGCCUUUAGGAGAUGCGGUGCCAAUUCCUGCAGGACGUUUUCCUGAAAGAUAAGGG